RNAcentral lists this non-coding RNA (160 nucleotides) under human gut metagenome. RNAcentral describes it as "Lysine riboswitch". It matches the Rfam family "Lysine riboswitch aptamer". Rfam says of the family: Riboswitches are metabolite binding domains within certain messenger RNAs that serve as precision sensors for their corresponding targets. Allosteric rearrangement of mRNA structure is mediated by ligand binding, and this results in modulation of gene expression. The record is from RNAcentral.
GAUAGAGGUCGCGGAAACGAAGAGUAUCUUGCAGCACACGCCGGCAGGCGGCCGCAGGGGAAAGGCAAUUCCGCCGAAGCACCGCAUGGCUGCCGCUGUGCCGCUGCUGGGCCGACGCCCAAUAAGCGCCGGACGUCACAGUUACUGUGGAGAGCUAUCA